AGGCAGGGAGGAUCGGGGUGUUAGCCGUACCCCACAUCAGAAAUCGGCUUUAUGCUGGGAUCAGUAACUGCUGGGUAAAUCCAGAGGUGUGAGGUACCCGCUUGCCUUGCUGAAAUGAAAUCAUGCCGUGUCGGAUGGUUAUGAGCAGCGCACCACGCGAAGGCGUAGUUUUGACUGUGAAUCGUCGAAAUGGGUGAGGUCCGGGAGGGAGCAACCCUAAGGCGGGGUAGCCAUGCUAACACGUCUACGUGGUGGAUCUUGUAGGACUUGAGAAGGGGCCUUGUGCCUCUGGUGGUACUGGCAGGCUGCCU
Molecule: signal recognition particle RNA, 311 nt
Filed under: Nitrosopumilales archaeon
Lineage: Archaea; Thermoproteati; Nitrososphaerota; Nitrososphaeria; Nitrosopumilales
Description: signal recognition particle sRNA
Rfam family: Archaeal signal recognition particle RNA
Source: RNAcentral